This 433-nucleotide ribosomal RNA is filed under the name uncultured bacterium. RNAcentral describes it as "partial 16S ribosomal RNA". It matches the Rfam family "Bacterial small subunit ribosomal RNA", at positions 29 to 507 of the family's 1533-position model. The record is from RNAcentral.
AGCGAACGCUGGCGGCAGGCCUAACACAUGCAAGUCGAACGAACGCUCCGUAAUUAUUGGCGGAUGGGGGUGGAACACGUGGGAACGGUCCUUUGUGUUCGGAAUAACUCAUGGACACGUGUGCUAACACCGAAUGUGCCCUUCUAGGGCAAGAUAUAUCGCCAUUAGAGCUGCCCGCGUCUGAUUAGCUGGUUGGUGAGGUAACGGCUCACCAAGGCGACGAUCAGUAGCUGGUCUGAGAGGAUGGCCAGCCACUCUUGGGCUGGGACACGGCCCAGAAUCUUACGCGAUGCAGGAGUGCGGAAUCUUGCGAAACCGGCUGAAGCCUGAAGCCGCCCUGCUGGGUGAAUGCUGAUGGUAUUAGGAUUGUAAAAUUCUUUCACCGGGGACGGUAAUGACGGUACCCAGAGAAGAAGCCCCGGCUAACUUCGUG